Molecule: small nucleolar RNA, 130 nt
Organism: Spea bombifrons (plains spadefoot toad)
Lineage: Eukaryota; Metazoa; Chordata; Amphibia; Anura; Pelobatidae
Source: RefSeq, a predicted model, not a curated record
UUGCGCUGUCAAGUGAACCCUGUGUCCAUUCCGUGGCAUGAGGGACCACUUAAGGUGCUAGAUCAAAUCCCUUCUUGGAGAUAGGCCAGGCUUUCUUGUAACCUGUCCCUACUGAUAGUUGGGUACAAGC